RNAcentral lists this ribosomal RNA (425 nucleotides) under uncultured bacterium. RNAcentral's name for it is "partial 16S ribosomal RNA". It matches the Rfam family "Bacterial small subunit ribosomal RNA", at positions 354 to 796 of the family's 1533-position model. The record is from RNAcentral.
GUGGGGAAUCUUGCGCAAUGGGCGAAAGCCUGACGCAGCCAUGCCGCGUGAAUGAUGAAGGUCUUAGGAUUGUAAAAUUCUUUCACCGGGGACGAUAAUGACGGUACCCGGAGAAGAAGCUCCGGCUAACUUCGUGCCAGCAGCCGAGGUAAUACGAAGGGGGCUAGCGUUGCUCGGAAUUACUGGGCGUAAAGGGCGCGUAGGCGGACAGCUUAGUCAGAGGUGAAAGCCCAGGGCUCAACCUUGGAAUUGCCUUUGAUACUGGCUGUCUUGAGUUUGGGAGAGGUGAGUGGAACUCCGAGUGUAGAGGUGAAAUUCGUAGAUAUUCGGAAGAACACCAGUGGCGAAGGCGACUCACUGGCCCAAUACUGACGCUGAGGCGCGAAAGCGUGGGGAGCAAACAGGAUUAGAUACCCUGGUAGUCC